Zootoca vivipara (common lizard) is the source of this 6309-nucleotide non-coding RNA. The record is from RefSeq and is a predicted model, not a curated record. Lineage: Eukaryota; Metazoa; Chordata; Lepidosauria; Squamata; Lacertidae.
AGGGCUUUCGGGACAGGACGAGCCUCUGGAAGUCCAGAGGCGGAGCGACAGUAGAAAUGGCGUCUCCGGCGCGGGGUAACCACGUGUGGGUGGGGUCCGAGACGGGCAUCCUGAAAGGGAUCAACCUGCAGAAGAAACAGGCCACAAACUAUAAGUCAGGAGAUGCGGUACUCAGUCGACAUGAAGCUGUUACUGCCAUGUGUUGGGGCGAUCCCUACGAGUCUGAGAUCUUUGUUGGAUGCCUUGAUGGAUCAGUCAGAUUGUUCAGUACUGAGAAGGGCAAGUUUACUGAGUCGCGAGACUGUCUAGGAGGCGAGGGACCCUUUUGUGGCUUGGCUGUGCUUGAUAAUUCCCUCAUCACCUGUGUACAAUCUGGUUUGCUGAAGGUCUGGCGGGAUGCUUCGUCGGAAAAUCUGGAGGUCCAGGUGGGCCCCGGCGUGUGCCGCAUGCGCCAGAACCCGGAACAGCCUCACCGUGUGGCCACAGGCGGGAAGGAGAACUGCCUCAAGGUGUGGGACCUCCACCAACCGCAGGAGCCCAUCUUCCGAGCCAAAAAUGUGCGGAACGACUGGCUUGACCUGAGGGUGCCUGUCUGGGACCAGGACAUGCAGUUCCUGCCUGGAUCAGAGAAAAUUGUUACCUGCACUGGACACCACCAGGUUCGGAUCUAUGACCCCAGCUCCCCACAGCGGCGCCCUGUGUUGGAAGCCACCUUUGGGGAGUACCCGCUCACUGCCCUCUCCCUGACCCCUGACGCAAAUGCUGUUGUUGUGGGCAGCUCGCAUGGGGAUGUGGCAGUAAUUGAUCUACGGCAAGGGCGGUUGCUGAAGUGCCUCAAAGGCUUUGCUGGGAGUGUCCGUGCCAUCCAGUGCCACCCUGUGCUUCCGCUGGUGGCCUCGUGCGGGUUGGACCGCUUCCUUCGUGUGCACAACCACCAGCACAAGCGCUUGGAGCAUAAGGUGUAUCUGAAAUCUCGAUUGAACUGCCUGCUGCUAACCAGCAGAGAGAAAUGGGAGGAUGAAGGCGCCGACCCUUCAGCUGACCUCCAGAGUGACGUGAAAGAGGAGGAGGAGGACGAUGAGAUCUGGAACUCAAUGGAAGUGGUUGCUGCCAAGCGGAAAGCAGAACAGCAGCCGUGCUCUGAUGUGGGGAGGGACGCACCCCAAAGGAACAAGCGCCUCAAAAAGCCGAAGAUUAAAAAAAGCUGAAUCUUGAUAUCUAUGUGGGGAGGGGGUUGGAAUGACAUUUGCCUUUUUUAAUAACGAAGGAGGCAGGCAUCACCAAAGUGCCUGAAUCUCAGCCUUGGACAUGGAUUUGCCACAAGCAAAGGCCUUGGCUGGUCAUGGGAGAAAAAGAGACAGAAACAUUGUGAUCUGCUUUCUGCUGCUUCGUAGGACAAGUUUGCCAUGGGAGGGCUUUUAACCUCAUAGCAGCCCCAGCUUAUUUUUUGGAUCUGGGGAGCUGGUGUGGCAGGAAUGUGAAGAUUUAUAGCAGGGGCUUCAUUUCAAGAACCUCAUGGAGACAACACAUUUCCCCUCUGCAUGUUUAAAAUUCUCCCAUUUCCUUCUCUCAUUUUGGCUGCUGUGCAGUUGAAGCUAUUAAAAAGUACCUUCUUGCACAAUAUGGGCUAUUUCCCCCCGCGCGGUGUCUCGGGUAGGAGGAAGUGUCACCAUCUCCUGUCCUGCUUAGCAUUUCCAUUUCCUUUUUAUUUUUAAGGAGUGCGUAAGAGUGAUGUGUGGAAGCAACUUCUAACUCCCAAGUUUGGGACCACUCAGGAUAUUAUUAUAUUCAUAUCCCGACUUUUCCAGGCCUCAAUGUGGCUUACACAAAUUGAAACAACACAGAUAAAAGUUGAAAAGUAAAUAAACUAUAAUAGAAUUAAAACAAUACAAAAACAACUUAUUAAAACACAGAUAGUAAAAAUAGCACAGCACUAAUUAUUUUUUUUAAAAAAGUCAGUUCCCAAAUGCCUACUAGAAUAAAACAUUGUUUUCACCUGCUGGCAGAAGAAUAACGAGGGAGCCAGCCUAGCUUCACUAGGAAGCGACUCCCCAAAUCUGGACGGGCUCCUUCCACAUUCCUACCAAAUGUGUCUGUGAGGGUGGUAGGGCUGAGAGAAGGGCCUCCCCCAAAGAUUUCAGGGCCUGGGCAGGUUUGUGUGACAGAAUACAGUACGGUCCUUCAGAGAGCCUGGGCAUAAGCCGUAAAACGCUCUAUAGCUCAUAACCAACACUUUGAAUUGAGCCCAGAAACCCAGUGGAGCUGUCGAAAAAAGGGAGUAAUAGGCUCCCUAAAACCAGCCCCAGUCAAGAGUUUGCCUGCAGCUCUUUGUUUGUUGGAGUUUUCAAGCACUUCAAAUUAACCCCUACAUAGAGCAUGUUACAGUAAUCCAAAUGGGAUGUAACUAAGCUAGACGAGAAUUCUCCAGGAAUGGGCACAGCUGGCACACAAGACCUAACUGCAAAUGCAGUUAGUAAAUCUGGGCAUCCAGGCUUAGGGCUGAAUCCAGUAAAAUACCCAGACUGGGAACCUGCAUUUUCAGGGGGAGUUUUGCCCCGUCCAAGAUUGGAUUUGCAGAUUUAUCAAAAUGCAUACUGCUAUAUCAUAGAAAAUAUCAAAACAGUGAAUUUUUUCUGUAAUAAAACAGCUGCUUUGAGAUCUUGUAUAGAAUGUCCUGGGAGAUUGAAGUGUUCUCCUACUGGUUUCUCUGUCUUGUGGUUCCUGAUGUCAGAUUUAUGUCCAUUUAUCCUUUUGCGUAGGGUUUGGCCUGUUUGUCCAAUAUAGAGAGCUGAAGGGCACUGUUGGCAUUUGAUGGCAUCCACAAUGUUAUAAGAUGAGCAAUUAGAUAAUUUCAGGAACAGACUGGAAAGAGAAGUUGCUGAAUUGGAACUCAUUACCAAGCUUAAAACCAUGGAGCCACCUGGGAUGAACAAAGACAUUGGAUUCUUAUCUCAUUAUGCAUGAUCAAGCUUUCUUUAGCGCCUCAGCCCUUGCUUUUCCCCCGCAGGACCAAUUGCAGUCACCAGCAGUCGUUAACAGCCAUCUACAGGUUUACCACUUCCAUCAGCCCAUCACCCAUUCCCCCCCCCCACCCUCUGUAUAUACAUACGGGUCUGACUUCUGUUUCAAGUGUAUCUGAAGAAGUGUGCAUGCACACGAAAGCUCAUACCAAAAUAAAAACGUAGUUGGUCUUUAAGGUGCUACUGAAGGAAUUUUUUUAUUUUGCUUCGACUCAGACCAACACGCCUACCUACCUGUAACUAAAUGUUAUGGCAUCAUCUUUCAAGGGCUAGAGAGGCUGCUUCAUCAAACAGACCUUUAAUAUGAUCCAGCAAGGGCUGCUCAUAUUAUUCCCCAUCUUUUUUUUAAUGUGCUUUCACUAUCAAGAAAGGGGACACGGGUGGCGCUGUGGGUUAAACCACAGAGCCUAGGGCUUGCCAAUCAGAAGGUCAGCAGUUCGAAUCCCCGCGACAGGUGAGCUCCCAUUGCUCAGUCCCUGCUCCUGCCAACCUAGCAGUUCAAAACCACAUCAAAGUGCAAGUAGGUAAAUAGGUACCGCUCUUGUGGAAAGGUAAACGGCAUUUCCGUGCGCUGCUCUGGUUCGCCAGAAGCGGCUUAGUCAUGCUAGCCACAUGACACGGAAAGUUGUCUGCAGACAAACACUGGCUCCGUCGGCCAGCAAAGCGAGAUGAGCGCCGCAACCCCAGAGUUGUCCGCGACUGGACCUAACGGUCAGGGGUCCCUUUACCUUUACCAUCAAGAAAGCCCUUGCAUACCCCCCACCACAAAAGUACACUUUUUAUCAGUUAUUCAUAUUCCCAUUAAAAAAGCUUAUUAAAAAUUAGGCUUAAGGUUCUACCCAACACAUUUCUCUUUAGUUCUUGCAUGGUUCUCCCCCUUCUCAUUGACUCCAUAACAACCCUGUGAGGUAGGUUAAGAUGAGAAUGAGUGGCGCAACUCACUGAAUUUCAUGGCUGAGUCUGAAUUCGAACCCUGGUCUUUCCAGGUCCUGGUCCAACACUCUUACCACUGUAUCACACUGGGUUUUUAAUCAUAACAGACUAACACCUUUCAUACUAUGUGGCUCAAGAGUGCGGUAUGUGGCUCAAGAGUGCUGGACGAGGACUUGGGAGACUGGAGCUCACAUCCUCACUUGGUCACCAUGCUGCUGUCUCUCAGCCUAAUCUGGGCAUGGGGAAUAUUUAGUUCUCCCGAUGUUGCUGAACUACUACACCAUUGGCUAUACUUGCUAGGGCUGAUGGGAGUUGUAGUUCAGCAACAUCUAGAAGGGCAAAAGUUCCCCCACACCUGGCUUAAUCGACCUCACAGGGCUGUUGUGGGGAAACCAUGUACCUGUAUGUGAUAUUGAGCUCCCCAGAGGACUGAUGGGAUAUAAUCUAAUAAUAAUCAUUUUGUUAUUAUUUAAUGCUGCAAUCUGCAGAACUGCCUUUGCUGAUUUAUCCACCCAACAUCUCUUAUAUCCCACAACUACCCUAUCUGAAUUUUUGAAUGCAGUUUGGGAAGCUUUCUGUGUCAUUCUGCAAAAUAUCCCUACUCCAAAACUCUCAUCAUUUACAGGGGCUUGGAGAGGAUUUGUGGAGCAGAAAAAAAGGAUGCUCGUGUAUUCUCUCCCUCCUCUCUCGGAGGCAAUAUCCUGGGAAUCACAAGCAGGGAGACUUGCUGUUGCGCUCAUGCCCUGCUUUGGGACUGCCCAUUGUGUCAUCUGUUUGGCCAUUGUGAGAAGAGGGUGUUGGACAAGAUGGCCUGAUGCAGCAGCCAGGCUGCUCCUACGUUCUCAAGGCAAUGGGAUUUGCUUUUGAGGGGGAAAUGCGGCUUUAAUGACCCUGGCAGCGCAAUCGUAUUUUUAUUUUUUUGUACCCUAUAUUUGUAAACUGCUUAGAGACUAUUGUAGUUAAGCAGUAUGUAUACUAAAUUGCUUAAAUCAAUACAUAAAACCAGAAGCAAGCCUCAGUCUGUAUGGGAUUUACUCCCUCCUAGGGAAACGUGCAUAGGAUCGCAGCCACCGUGGUAACGAAGAGAGUUUGGAUCCGGGAUCGGAAGGCGAUAUAUUUAUAACAAAUGCAAUUGAUAUAAUAGAAAAGAACGAUCUUUUUUUUUUUUUUUUUAGGAAGACGGUGGAGGAUGGUGGGCAGAGUGAGGCGAGGCAACUUUCCUCCGCCAAAGUUGGAGCCGAGGCGAAAGCGUGACCUCACAAAAGCCGCCUAGGGAAUAAGGCUGCUGCGGCUGCGGGCCCCUUUGGCGGGCCGGGACGGGCCCCGUCCAGGCGCCGCGCGGCGGGCGAUGGGCUGUGUGGAAUCCAAUGAAGUGCUUUCCUCCGAAGUUAUAGAGACAACAGAAUCAACACCACCCGCGCCCCAAACGACUGCUCCAGGCUCGGAAAAAGUGAAAAGAAAGAGAAGACAUAGCUUAAGGGAAAGGUUGACAAGUGGGAAGAAGACAUCUACUGAAGAUCUGAGCCAUCGGACUGAAAGCACAAAGAUCCACGUGAUCUGGAGACGUGUUUCUGUCUUCAGCACACGUCGAGAUUCCUUGAAGAGCACGAGCACAGACAUGGCUGGGCCCAGUCAUCUGAACAGCGAUCAAGAACAUCGACCCGAUACCUCUCAGUAAUUUGGGGGAGCUCACUGAGGAGAGAGAGAAUGUGGACAGAGAAUACAGAGCAGGCUAUGGCAGCAUUGCUGCAAAAUACAGGCAGUCUUACAGCUAAGGGGGAUAAACUUUAACUAUCACGCAUGGCUUUCUGUGAAAUUAUUGGCUGGAAAUAGCAGGUACCCAUUUUGAUAACGGUCAGGAAGAGAAAGGAGAGGACUAGUAAUGGGAAGUGAGGAAUUCAAACAGUUUUUUGGUGGUCUUAAUUAAUUAUGUGGCAAUGGCUUGGACAACUUGUGACCCAUGAACACAGCGCAAUAUCCCAUGCAGCAAGCAACAGCCUGUCUUUUUAUUCCUCGCACCCCUUCCCAUAAGAUGUUUUGAUGGACGGGCCAGAGAAAAAGUUAAAAUUUCCUACAUCAGGGCCAGUGGCAGGUUUGAGGGACAAGAGAUACCUUCAGUAAGCCUCACUGAGCUAGAGAUGAGGAAACCUCAGGCCUGGGGGCCAAUUGCAGCCCUCCAGGCCUCUCUACCUGGCCUCAGAACCCUCCUCAGGCCACAUCCUUCAAUGGCUCUAGGUGCCUUUGCCAGGUUAGAAUGUGUCCAAAUCUGAUUGUGCCUCUUGCUAGCACUGAUGGAGAGGGAGGGAUAGGUGAUUGUGCAUAGAGACUAGCCUACUAUAGAAAGGUAUCAUUUACA